This 253-nucleotide ribosomal RNA is filed under the name uncultured bacterium. RNAcentral describes it as "partial 16S ribosomal RNA". It matches the Rfam family "Bacterial small subunit ribosomal RNA", at positions 524 to 776 of the family's 1533-position model. The record is from RNAcentral.
UACGGGGGGGGCAAGCGUUGUUCGGAAUUACUGGGCGUAAAGGGCUCGUAGGCGGCCAACUAAGUCAGACGUGAAAUCCCUCGGCUUAACCGGGGAACUGCGUCUGAUACUGGAUGGCUAGAGGUUGGGAGAGGGAUGCGGAAUUCCAGGUGUAGCGGUGAAAUGCGUAGAUAUCUGGAGGAACACCGGUGGCGAAGGCGGCAUCCUGGACCAACUCUGACGCUGAGGAGCGAAAGCCAGGGGAGCAAACGGG